Camponotus floridanus (Florida carpenter ant) is the source of this 281-nucleotide long non-coding RNA. RefSeq lists it as uncharacterized. Lineage: Eukaryota; Metazoa; Arthropoda; Insecta; Hymenoptera; Formicidae. The record is from RefSeq and is a predicted model, not a curated record. The transcript has 3 exons.
CAAGUGCUUGGCAAAUAAUUGGACCAGAAUUAGAUAUUUUACGUAUUAAUGAAUUUAUUGGAAUUAAUCAACAGGGAAGAGUGGACUGCAAUCAAAUUUCCCAAUUGUCCAGUAUCAGGUUUAAUUUGAAGAGUAAACCGUUCUAUCUUACCGGUAAAAAUUACAUCAUUCGGCAUCCAGAUGAUGAAAAUAUAUGUAUAACCGUCUUCUGGAAUCACGACGCAACACAUAAAGAUGCAGUAAAAUGGGUUCUGGGCAUGCCAUUUAUUGGCCGUUAUUAC